CAAGAAGGAUGCUAACAAGCACUAUGGUUUCGACCCAUAAACAGAAUUAAUUAUAUUCCCUUCUUUU
This 67-nucleotide transfer RNA is filed under the name Sinohyriopsis cumingii. RNAcentral describes it as "Hyriopsis cumingii tRNA-Arg". Lineage: Eukaryota; Metazoa; Mollusca; Bivalvia; Unionida; Unionidae. The record is from RNAcentral.